Molecule: ribosomal RNA, 301 nt
Filed under: uncultured bacterium
Lineage: Bacteria
Description: partial 16S ribosomal RNA
Rfam family: Bacterial small subunit ribosomal RNA
Source: RNAcentral
CAGUCGCCACGGGAAAACGAAGGGGGCUAGCGUUGUUCGGAUUUACUGGGCGUAAAGGGUGCGUAGGCGGACUGAUAAGUCAGGGGUGAAAUCCCAAGGCUCAACCUUGGAACUGCCUUUGAUACUGUUAGUCUUGAGUUCGAGAGAGGUAAGUGGAACUGCGAGUGUAGAGGUGAAAUUCGUAGAUAUUCGCAAGAACACCAGUGGCGAAGGCGGCUUACUGGCUCGAGACUGACGCUGAGGCGCGAAAGCGUGGGGAGCAAACAGGGUUAGAUACCCGCGUAGUCCCUGUCUCUUAUAC